RNAcentral lists this non-coding RNA (158 nucleotides) under Megaselia scalaris. RNAcentral's name for it is "Eukaryotic small subunit ribosomal RNA". It matches the Rfam family "Eukaryotic small subunit ribosomal RNA", at positions 1595 to 1764 of the family's 1831-position model. The record is from Rfam by way of RNAcentral. Lineage: Eukaryota; Metazoa; Arthropoda; Insecta; Diptera; Phoridae.
UCACAUGAACCUGGAAUUCCCAGUAAGUGUGAGUCAUUAACUUGCAUUGAUUACGUCCCUUCCCUUUGUACACACCGCCCGUCGCGGAUUUAAGAAUCCUGAAUAUUUGCUUAAAUUUAUAAAUCAACAGAAGUCAACAGUUUCAGAAAUUAACAAUU